This is a long non-coding RNA of Tympanuchus pallidicinctus (lesser prairie-chicken), 577 nucleotides long. RefSeq lists it as uncharacterized. NCBI's taxonomy places the organism in Eukaryota, Metazoa, Chordata, Aves, Galliformes, Phasianidae. The transcript is spliced from 6 exons. The record is from RefSeq and is a predicted model, not a curated record.
CUGCUUGAAAGCCUCCAGUGAGCCUCGAUGUUGCACUAGGACUGCUAGAUUGAAUUCCUGAACUUGCUGAGUGACAGAAACUGCUCUGGAGAAGUCAACAAGAGCAAAUGAAAAUGCAGCAUCACAACACUGAAUUAAGAGUGAAGGAAAACACUGUCGAUAAAAUGCCAGAUAGACUGUAGAUGUUCAACGUUGAUGGACCAGAGCCUCUUGCAUCCAUACCUGUGACAGAUGAAAAAGAAAGUGUCCUGUUUUAAACACCAGGAGCUGCAUUCAGUCAGAAGCCUCAAGCAAGAGCAGUAUCAGCUUCUCUUCUGGUCUUAGAUCUAGUGCACACUCCUGGCAGGGUUCUACAAACUUGACAAGCAGAGAAACCUGAGAAUGUUGUGGGAGACAAAGUACGCAAUUUGGAACUGUAUGCUGGAUUCCUUUUGUUUGGCCACCUCCUGUGAAACCAGACACCAACUUUGACUUCAUAUGGUGAAAAUGGCAAGAUGCUUUCAUUCCUGAAGACAUAUCUGGGCGUGUCAGGAGAGGUGACUACAGUCUGUAUCCACGUUGUGGUGCCAAAGGGGCG